This 1408-nucleotide long non-coding RNA is filed under the name Parus major (Great Tit). RNAcentral describes it as "lncRNA (ENSPMJG00000003184.1)". Lineage: Eukaryota; Metazoa; Chordata; Aves; Passeriformes; Paridae. The record is from RNAcentral.
CGGGGGUCCCUCGUGUCCCUCCCCACUCCCGGGGGUCCCGGGGGUCCCUCCCCAGUCCUGGGGGUCCCGGGGGUCCCGGAGGUCCCUGCCCAACCGGGGGUCCCUCACGGGGGUUCCAGAGGUCCCUCCCCAAAUCCCGGGGGUCCCUCGUGUCCCUCCCCACUCCCGGGGGUCCCGGGGGUCCCUCCCCACUCCUGGGGGUCCCGGGGGUCCCUGCCCAACCGGGGGUCUCCGCAGGGACCCCCCGCAAGCAGCGGCGGGAGCGCACCACCUUCACCCGGGCACAGCUGGACGUGCUGGAGGCGCUGUUCGCCAAAACGCGGUACCCGGACAUCUUCAUGAGAGAGGAGGUGGCCCUGAAAAUCAACCUGCCCGAGUCCCGCGUGCAGGUGAGGGGACACCUGGGNGGGGACAGGGCCACCACAGCCCUGGGGACACGAGGACAGCGCCACGAGGACAGCGCCACCGCAGCCUUGGGGACACGGGGACAGGGCCACCACAGCCUUGGGGACACGGGGACAGGGCCACCACAGCCCUGGGGACACCGCUGGGGUGGGGACAGGGCCACCGCAUCCCUGGGGACACCGCUGGGGUGGGGACAGCGCCACCGCAUCCCUGGGGACAUCGCUGGGGUGGGGACAGCGCCACCGCGGCCCUGGGGACAUCCCGGGGUGGGGACAGCGCCACCGCAGCCUUGGGGACACGGGGACAGGGCCACCACAGCCCUGGGGACACGGGGACAGCGCCACCGCAGCCUUGGGGACACGGGGACAGCGCCACCGUAGCCCUGGGGACAUCCCGGGGUGGGGACAGGGCCACAGCAGUCUUGGGGACAUCGCUGGGGUGGGGACAGGGCACCGCAGCCCUGGGGACACGGGGACAGCGCCACCGCAGCCUUGGGGACGUCGCUGGGGUGGGGACAGCGCCACCGCAGCCUUGGGGACAUCCCAGGGUGGGGACAGCGCCACAGCAGCCUUGGGGACAUCGCUGGGGUGGGGACAGGGCACCGCAGCCCUGGGGACACGAGGAUAGGGCCACCGCAGCCUUGGGGACACGGGGACAGGGCCACCACACCCCUGGGGACAUCCCGGAGUGGGGACAGCGCCACCGCGGCCCUGGGGACAUCUCUGGGGUGGGGACAGGGCCACCACAGCCCUGGGGACACAGGGACAGCGUCACCGCGGCCCUGGGGACAUCCCGGGGUGGGGACAGCGCCACCACAGCCUUGGGGACACGGGGACAGCGUCACCGCAGCCCUGGGGACAUCCCGGGGUGGGGACAGGGCUACUGCAGCCUUGGGGACAUCCCGGGGUGGGGACAGCGCCACCACAGCCCUGGGGACAUCCCGGGGUGGCACCAGCUGACGGGUGGGGACGCGAUGGGGACAGGCCACCGGCCGAGCCGGGCC